Long non-coding RNA from Perognathus longimembris pacificus (Pacific pocket mouse), 151 nucleotides. RefSeq lists it as uncharacterized. The transcript is spliced from 3 exons. NCBI's taxonomy places the organism in Eukaryota, Metazoa, Chordata, Mammalia, Rodentia, Heteromyidae. The record is from RefSeq and is a predicted model, not a curated record.
AAUGUUCCUUCUAACAAACAACUGAAAUGAAAUUCUACCAUGUUCCAUAGCACAGUAGGGGGAUGACAGAAUACAUUUGUUUUCAAGUUUGAAGAGGGCUAGGGGAACAGCCUAAGUGGUAGAGCACUUGGCUGACAUGCGUGACGCCUUG